AAGCAGGUACACCACAGACCAAGGAAAUGGCUGAAAAGUAGACCGUUUACCCCCCAGUGCAUGUUCUAGUCUGGAUUUUUAUCCAUGGCUUUCUAAGCAAAUGUGAAAUUGAUGCAAAGGGCUCAGGUGCAGCCUCAAAACACUUGCCUCCAUGCCAAAGCCUGUGAUGUAGCUGGUUUAGUGCUGGCAGGUGGGAAGCACCCAAUGCUGCUCUGCAUGCUCUCAGUGCCUACUUUGUGAAGGUUUCUUGAAGAAGAACUAGAGCCUGGACAAACAGGAACAGGCAGAGGAAUCAUUCUAUUCCAGUUCUAUACUAUAUGGGAGCAAGAUAAGGCAAAGGGGUUUCUUGGGAGUAUGGAGUAGUCAGUAAUUUACAGCUCAGGAAACCUUUAGUAAAUCAAUGCUCUCUUAACUUAGUCAGUACUCCAAUUCUGUUUCAAAGUGGAAGAACUGUUUCCCAAAUGCAGGACUCUGCAGGGCCAGUAACUGCUGCUCAGAAUGAAAAAUACAAAGGGAAUGUGCAGGUGGAAAGAACAUCUAAUUUGGGCAGAGAUCACCCGGCUGCUGUGUGCAAGUGGGGUGUACAGUAAAGGCCAUAAAAGCCCAAAGGGUGUGAGAAAUGGGGAAGAAAGAGCUUUCUACAACAAGCUCAGAUGAAAAGGUCUUAACUUGAAUUGAGAGUUGCAACAGUAAUAUUUUCUAGUAACAUUUUUUCUACAGUUUCAGAAUUUUAGUUGCACUACACUUUCUGUGGUAGUAACAUUUGUGUAAAUAAUUUCUGAUAAUUUUUAAAUGUAGAUAAUAACUGAUCAGUCCCACAGAGUUUUAAAUCAAAACUCUGGCAGACACCUGUGGUAGAAAAUCAUACUUUUCCCCUUUAAGCAAGAAGGUUGACUAUGGAAUUCAGUGGAUUAAAAAAAGUGUAUGGCACAACUACUAAGUGUAUGCCAUUACAAACCACUCAAACACACCAGUAAGUAUGAGAGGAAGUAAAGAAAAUAGUGAAUAGUAAUGCAAAAGGAAAGUGCAUCUUUUCAGAUGCAGAAGCAAAAUAAUUACAGAAGGACAAUUUUAGGGAAUUGAGUUUACAUGCUAAUAAUAAAUUGCUUUGAGUUUUCGUUAAAAUUUACAUGACAAGAUCUAAAAUGCAUUUUGUCAGCUCAUGAAGACUAAUCCUGCUUCAGCACAAGUAUUUAAUGCACAGACACAGUUUAGGUAUGGGUGAGAAGAAAAAUGAUAGUCCACAACACAGCAGUGAGAAGGAAAAUGGACACUGGGGAGUAAACUGUCUCACUUUACUUUUUUAUUUCAGCUCCCUGUAAGGUGGUUUUAAUUACAUAAAGCAGACAUCUAAAGCCAAGAAUUCAUCAGCAUGUGGCCCAGAAGUGUGGGGAAAAGAAAAAAAAAACACAGACCACUGAUAAACAUCAUGAACUGUCUGUUCACAGUGUUGGAAGCAAGACCAACAUCAUCUUCGUCAAACAUCUUAUCUGAGCUUCUGAACUGCUGGUAAUCUCUGUAUGAACCACUGCCAGAAAAUGAGUCCUGAUGUGAAGUCCAGCCACUCUUGCAGCCUGUUUCCUGAUGCCUGAAUCCUUGACAACUAGAUUCCUGGUUCCAGCUAGACUCCUGCUUCCAGCUAGAGCUCUGGUUCCACCUAGAGUCCUCAUUCCACUCAUUCCACCUGGUGUCCUGGUGCCACCUGGAGCCACCUCUUCCUGAAACAGCAGAAUUUGCAGAAGAUGUACAAGUAUUCACAGAAUCAUCAUGCUUGUAAGAGGAAUAGCUUUGCAAUGGAUCAUUUGUGGAGUAUCUUCCAGAUGAAGGAUAUGAGGCUGUAGAAUUGGGAUAGGAUAAUCCUUGAUCACUUACAGUCCACGCUUUUGUACACGUUUGUUGAUUCCUCCAUUUUGUAUUUUCCCCGCCAUAUGAGAGUCUGUUAUCAUGGAGUUUACUUCCUUGCACGUCUCUGGACAUAUAUUCUGCUGAGUACUCCCUCACUGGGCUUGUCACAUAGGAAGAGGCCCCACCAGCUGAAUUACUGUCAGAUGCAGAUUGGCUGAACUGUCCCAGCCAUUCACUGACACCACUGGCAGGACUUCCAGUGUGAAGAGCAAGAGAGUCCCUGAGUGCAGACAUCAUUGUAAAGUCAUUAGACAUCAGAUGACAGGAAGAUGACCCAUCAUCUGUUUGGUAACUGUAUGAGUGAGCAGGAGCAAAAGAAGCUUCUGCAGAGCACUCUUCAUACUGAGACAAAAAACCUUGAUUCCAGUUAGAACUUCCUGAAUAAAGAAAGGACACUAAAAGUUAGCAAAACAUUAAAAUAUCAACUGCAAACACAAGAUUUUAUAAAGUGAUUCUAUGAAGUGUCCUUCUGUUCUUUUCCCA
This is a long non-coding RNA of Chiroxiphia lanceolata (lance-tailed manakin), 2388 nucleotides long. RefSeq lists it as uncharacterized. Lineage: Eukaryota; Metazoa; Chordata; Aves; Passeriformes; Pipridae. The transcript has 2 exons. The record is from RefSeq and is a predicted model, not a curated record.